UUACCUUUUAAUUUAAUUUUUUUUUCAAAAAAAUAAGAUCUAAUUGGAAAGGCCAUCUCUUCUUUCGACAAGUAGAUGGGGUGCCCCAGUCAGAUAAGACAGACUGAGUGAGCACCCCUUAUAAAAGAGGGCAAGAAGUUGGGGCACCAAUACUUAGCGCUCCCUUAGGAUUUUUAUGCAAGAGAGAAAGGGCAUGGCCCCUCUUUCUUUCUCCUUGCGUGCCAAUGCAAGAGAGGGAGUGGACCCCUCUCUCUUCCUCAUGCCAAUCUAGGGUUGGCACCCUUUGGACUUUUCAAAAAGAGAGGCAUGGCACCAUCUCUUCUUUCCUAUAAUUCCACACAUAAUAUUAAAAAAUAAAUGAAGAGAUAAUUUGUCUAACUCAUUGACUUAAUCCAAUCCUCUUGGGCUCACAAUUAGACAUCCAGCU
This 427-nucleotide long non-coding RNA is filed under the name Elaeis guineensis (African oil palm). Its description in RNAcentral is "long non-coding RNA (EGUI_LNC062178)". The record is from RNAcentral. Lineage: Eukaryota; Viridiplantae; Streptophyta; Magnoliopsida; Arecales; Arecaceae.